Molecule: long non-coding RNA, 326 nt
Filed under: Equus caballus (horse)
Lineage: Eukaryota; Metazoa; Chordata; Mammalia; Perissodactyla; Equidae
Description: lncRNA (ENSECAG00000056225.1)
Source: RNAcentral
AUUAAACAAGAAGAAAAUUGAUUCUUCUGAUUGUAGUGGUAUAAGGACAAUAAGUACCUUGGAUAGCAAACUACAGUCCGAGGCAGAGGAAGAGAGAGAUGAAGAGCAAGUUCUAGGCUGUGAAUACUACAGCACUGCUCUUUUAUAGGAACUGCCAGUAAAUCAAAUUACUUAGACCCCAGUUGAGACUACAGAGGGCCUGCUCAGCGCUUGCAAAUAACACAGCCAUGACAAAGGCUCUGCAGCUUCAUUCCCACUCAAGAGCUUCAAAGAUGGAACCAGUAUUCUUAAGGGAAAGUGUGGGGAAAACAAUGUCUCAAAUAAAG